GCGGCACGCUUCAUACAUGCAAGUCGAGGGGCAGCAUAAAUUACUUGUAAUUUGAUGGCGACCGGCGAACGGGUGCGUAACGCGUAUGCAACUUACCUUUUACUAGAGAAUAGCCAAGAGAAAUUUUGAUUAAUGCUCUAUACUCUUAUUAACUCACAUGAGUUUUUAAGAAAAGCUCCGGCGGUAAAAGAUGGGCAUGCGUCCUAUUAGCUUGUAGGUGAGGUAACGGCUCACCUAAGCUCCGAUAGGUAGGGGUCCUGAGAGGGAGAUCCCCCACACUGGUACUGAGACACGGACCAGACUUCUACGGAAGGCAGCAGUAAGGAAUAUUGGACAAUGGAGGAAACUCUGAUCCAGCGAUGCCGCGUGAAGGAAGACGGCCCUAUGGGUUGUAAACUUCUUUUAUACAGGAAUAAACCUAUCCACGUGUGGAUAGCUGAAGGUACUGUAAGAAUAAGGAUCGGCUAACUCCGUGCCAGCAGCCGCGGUAAUACGGAGGAUCCAAGCGUUAUCCGGAAUUAUUGGGUUUAAAGGGUCCGCAGGCUGUUUGUUAAGUCAGGGGUGAAAUCCUACCGCUCAACGGUAGAACUGCCUUUGAUACUGGCAAACUUGAGUUAUUGUGAAGUAGUUAGAAUGUGUAGUGUAGCGGUGAAAUGCAUAGAUAUUACACAGAAUACCGAUUGCGAAAGCAGAUUACUAACAAUUAACUGACGCUGAGGGACGAAAGCGUGGGUAGCGAACAGGAUUAGAUACCCUGGUAGUCCACGCCGUAAACGAUGGUCACUAGCUGUUCGAUGUACAUUGGUACAUUGAGUGGCUAAGCGAAAGUGAUAAGUGACCCACCUGGGGAGUACGCU
Molecule: ribosomal RNA, 857 nt
Filed under: uncultured Flavobacteriaceae bacterium
Lineage: Bacteria; Pseudomonadati; Bacteroidota; Flavobacteriia; Flavobacteriales; Flavobacteriaceae
Description: bacterial SSU rRNA
Rfam family: Bacterial small subunit ribosomal RNA
Source: RNAcentral